UCCCUGGUGGUCCACUGGCUAAAGACUCUGAGCUGCCAAUGCGGGGGGCCCAGGUUCAAUCCCUGGUCAGGGAA
This is a non-coding RNA of Bos taurus (domestic cattle), 74 nucleotides long. NCBI's taxonomy places the organism in Eukaryota, Metazoa, Chordata, Mammalia, Artiodactyla, Bovidae. The record is from Rfam.